UACGAAGGGUGCAAGCGUUAAUCGGAAUUACUGGGCGUAAAGCGCGCGUAGGUGGUUCAGUAAGUUGGAAGUGAAAUCCCCGGGCUCAACCUGGGAACUGCUUCAAAACUGCUGAGCUAGAGUACGGUAGAGGGUGGUGGAAUUUCCUGUGUAGCGGUGAAAUGCGUAGAUAUAGGAAGGAACACCAGUGGCGAAGGCGACCACCUGGACUGAUACUGACACUGAGGUGCGAAAGCGUGGGGAGCAAACAGG
RNAcentral lists this ribosomal RNA (252 nucleotides) under uncultured bacterium. RNAcentral's name for it is "partial 16S ribosomal RNA". It matches the Rfam family "Bacterial small subunit ribosomal RNA", at positions 524 to 776 of the family's 1533-position model. The record is from RNAcentral.